CUGCCAAAUACAGGAAGGCAAGAUCUGCAAUCUUCAAUCUAUUCCACUGCCAAAUACAGGGAGAUAGAGUUAUCGGCUUCAAUGUACUCCACUGUAGUCACAUGGAGGUAAAAUCUGCCAUCUUCGAUCUUCAAUCUAUUCCACUGCCAAAUACAGGGAGAUAGAGUUAUCGGCUUCAAUGUACUCCACUGUAGUCAGGGAGGUAAAAUCUACCAUCUUCGAUCUUCAAUCUAUUCCACUGCCAAAUACAGGGAGAUAGAGUUAUCGGCUUCAAUGUACUCCACUGUAGUCACAUGGAGGUAAAAUCUGCCAUCUUUGAUCUUCAAUCUAUUCCACUGCCAAAUACAGGGAGAUAGAGUUAUCGGCUUCAAUGUACUCCACUGUAGUCAGGGAGGUAAAAUCUGCCAUCUUUGAUCUGCUUCGCUGCCAAAUAUAGGAAGGCAAGAUCUGCAAUCUUCAAUCUAUUCCACUGCCAAAUACAGGGAGAUAGAGUUAUCGGCUUCAAUGUACUCCACUAUAGUCACAUGGAGGUAAAAUCUGCCAUCUUUGAUAUUCAAUCUAUUCCACUGCCAAAUACAGGGAGAUAGAGUUAUCGGCUUCAAUGUACUCUAUUGUAGUCAGGGAGGUAAAAUCUACCAUCUUCGAUCUUCAAUCUAUUCCACUGCCAAAUACAGGGAGAUAGAGUUAUCGGCUUCAAUGUACUCCACUGUAGUCACAUGGAG
RNAcentral lists this long non-coding RNA (722 nucleotides) under Gossypium barbadense (sea-island cotton). Its description in RNAcentral is "long non-coding RNA (GBAR_LNC022017)". Lineage: Eukaryota; Viridiplantae; Streptophyta; Magnoliopsida; Malvales; Malvaceae. The record is from RNAcentral.